UGAGGAACAUGACUUUCGGCGGGGGAUAGCCGGCCCAACGGCCGGGUAAUACCGCGUACGACCUCUUGGGGACAUCCCCGAUUGGUGAAAGCAGCAAUGCGCCGAAAGAGUGCCUCGCGGCCUAUCAGCUAGUUGGUGGGGUAAUGGCUCACCAAGGCGACGACGGGUAGCUGGUCUGAGAGGAUGGCCAGCCACAUUGGGACUGAGACACGGCCCAGACUCCGUACGGGGGGCAGCAGG
This 240-nucleotide ribosomal RNA is filed under the name uncultured bacterium. RNAcentral describes it as "partial 16S ribosomal RNA". It matches the Rfam family "Bacterial small subunit ribosomal RNA", at positions 118 to 354 of the family's 1533-position model. The record is from RNAcentral.